GUUUGAUCAUGGCUCAGGAUGAACGCUAGCUACAGGCUUAACACAUGCAAGUCGAGGGGCAUCAGUUUGGUUUGCUUGCAAACCAAAGCUGGCGACCGGCGCACGGGUGAGUAACACGUAUCCAACCUGCCUCAUACUCGGGGAUAGCCUUUCGAAAGAAAGAUUAAUAUCCGAUAGCAUAUAUUUCCCGCAUGGGUUUUAUAUUAAAGAAAUUCGGUAUGAGAUGGGGAUGCGUUCCAUUAGUUUGUUGGGGGGGUAACGGCCCACCAAGACUACGAUGGAUGGGGGUUCUGAGAGGAAGGUCCCCCACAUUGGAACUGAGACACGGUCCAAACUCCUACGGGAGGCAGCAGUGAGGAAUAUUGGUCAAUGGACGCGAGUCUGAACCAGCCAAGUAGCGUGAAGGAUGACUGCCCUAUGGGUUGUAAACUUCUUUUAUAUGGGAAUAAAGUUGUCCACGUGUGGAUUUUUGUAUGUACCAUAUGAAUAAGGAUCGGCUAACUCCGUGCCAGCAGCCGCGGUAAUACGGAGGAUCCGAGCGUUAUCCGGAUUUAUUGGGUUUAAAGGGAGCGUAGGCGGAUUGUUAAGUCAGUUGUGAAAGUUUGCGGCUCAACCGUAAAAUUGCAGUUGAUACUGGCAG
This 640-nucleotide ribosomal RNA is filed under the name uncultured bacterium. Its description in RNAcentral is "bacterial SSU rRNA". It matches the Rfam family "Bacterial small subunit ribosomal RNA", at positions 11 to 639 of the family's 1533-position model. The record is from RNAcentral.